ACGAAUCCUGUGCACUACAUAAGGAAGAUGUACUUUUCUACUUGUUGAUUAAACGCUUGUCUCUUGGAAGUGACGGUUGGUGUUCGGCUGCUUCUACAAGGUGUAACACUGGCUGCGACGGAGCUCCUUCAACCAGGAGUGUGUUACGGCAAAGGCAUCAACGAAUGCCGUUCCUUGGAACUCGAAGGAGUUACACAUGUGGGCAGUUGGCAAUCAUCCUCGGGGCAGCCACGAUGGAAUAUCACAGUGCUCUGCCGAGGGACCUGCCCUUGCCUGUGGCUGAACUGGGCUCGACGAGCAACGAUAACACCAGUGUGACGAUCGCCAACGGUGACUCAUCAUCUUGGACUACACAUCAACCACAACCGGGUGACGCAAGCCUCCUUUAGGAAGGCUGACCUUCCUACCCCGAACUAAGGAAGCAUGGGGCAACACGAGACGUGGCCACCCACCCAUCUUGCGCCGAUGCCAGAGACAGUGCCGCCGCGUAGGAGUGAGCGUGUUCGUGUGCCUACAAAGAGAUACGAGUCUGUGGACUUCAGAAACAAGUGAUUUUCGGUGACCUGUUAAUGCAUGUCUUUUUCCUUAUUUGAUAUUGUAAUGCCUAAUCUAUCAUAGAAAUCUAUUCUGUAAGAAAUCUUCCGUUAACUAUUGAGCACUGUGAUGCACCGAUACCUUGCUGCGUACCAAACUUAAGGGGGAAGGUGUGAUAUCGAGCAUGUUGCGUGUUAUCAAAUGCGAUAAAGCAGACCCGCUGUACGGGGGCCGUAACUGGCGCCAGGAGUCGUGACGAAUCGUGUGCACUGCGUAAGUCCGUUUCACACUAACGUUUUUCUCGUCUGUGUUUUUCACGGAGCUAAAACGGACCCAUGGACCCUACGGAGCUCUAUUACCCGUAGGUUCUAUUUUUGAAGCAAACUGACGACAAACACGGUAGUGUUAGACAGGCCUAAGGAAGAUGUACUCGAUUAUUUCUUGAUUAAACGCUUGUCUCUUGGAAGU
This is a long non-coding RNA of Ornithodoros turicata, 1002 nucleotides long. RefSeq lists it as uncharacterized. The transcript is spliced from 2 exons. Lineage: Eukaryota; Metazoa; Arthropoda; Arachnida; Ixodida; Argasidae. The record is from RefSeq and is a predicted model, not a curated record.